This 433-nucleotide ribosomal RNA is filed under the name uncultured bacterium. Its description in RNAcentral is "partial 16S ribosomal RNA". It matches the Rfam family "Bacterial small subunit ribosomal RNA", at positions 29 to 507 of the family's 1533-position model. The record is from RNAcentral.
AACGAACGCUGGCGGCAUGCCUAACACAUGCAAGUCGAACGAGACCUUCGGGUCUAGUGUCGCACGGGUGCGUAACGCGUUGGAACCUGCCCUUGGGUUCGGAAUAACUCCCCGAAAGGGGUUCUAAUACCGGAUAAUGUCCUGGGACCAAAGAUUUAUCGCCUUUGGAUGGGCCCGCGUUGGAUUAGCUAGUUGGUAGGGUAAAAGCCUACCAAGGCGACGAUGCAUAGCUGGACUGAGAGGAUGAUCAGCCACACUGGGACUGAGACACGGCCCAGACUCCUACGGGAGGCAGCAGUGGGGAAUAUUGGACAAUGGGCGAAAGCCUGAUCCAGCAAUGCCGCGUGAGUGAUGAAGGCCUUAGGGUUGUAAAGCUCUUUUACCCGGGAUGAUAAUGACAGUACCGGGAGAAUAAGCUCCGGCUAACUCCGUG